Molecule: ribosomal RNA, 387 nt
Filed under: Escherichia coli
Lineage: Bacteria; Pseudomonadati; Pseudomonadota; Gammaproteobacteria; Enterobacterales; Enterobacteriaceae
Description: bacterial SSU rRNA
Rfam family: Bacterial small subunit ribosomal RNA
Source: RNAcentral
AAAUUGAAGAGUUUGAUCAUGGCUCAGAUUGAACGCUGGCGGCAGGCCUAACACAUGCAAGUCGAACGGUAACAGGAAGAAGCUUGCUUCUUUGCUGACGAGUGGCGGACGGGUGAGUAAUGUCUGGGAAACUGCCUGAUGGAGGGGGAUAACUACUGGAAACGGUAGCUAAUACCGCAUAACGUCGCAAGACCAAAGAGGGGGACCUUCGGGCCUCUUGCCAUCGGAUGUGCCCAGAUGGGAUUAGCUAGUAGGUGGGGUAACGGCUCACCUAGGCGACGAUCCCUAGCUGGUCUGAGAGGAUGACCAGCCACACUGGAACUGAGACACGGUCCAGACUCCUACGGGAGGCAGCAGUGGGGAAUAUUGCACAAUGGGCGCAAGCCU